Molecule: ribosomal RNA, 890 nt
Filed under: uncultured bacterium
Lineage: Bacteria
Description: bacterial SSU rRNA
Rfam family: Bacterial small subunit ribosomal RNA
Source: RNAcentral
AGAGUUUGAUCAUGGCUCAGAUUGAACGCUGGCGGUAGGCUUAACACAUGCAAGUCGUGCGAGAAAGUAUCUUCGGAUAUGAGUAGAGCGGCGGACGGGUGAGUAACGCGUAGGAAUCUACCUAGUAGAAGGGGAUAGCCCGGGGAAACUCGGAUUAAUACCGUAUACCUCCUUUGGGAGAAAGAGGGCCUCUCUUGAUGCUCUCGCUAUUAGAUGAGCCUGCGUAAGAUUAGCUUGUUGGUAAGGUAAUGGCUUACCAAGGCUACGAUCUUUAGCUGGUCUGAGAGGACGAUCAGCCACAUUGGGACUGAGACACGGCCCAGACUCCUACGGGAGGCAGCAGUGGGGAAUAUUGGACAAUGGGCGCAAGCCUGAUCCAGCCAUACCGCGUGUGUGAAGAAGGCCUUCGGGUUGUAAAGCACUUUAAGCAGGGAGAAAAAGCUAUAAGUUAAUACCUUAUAGCCGUGAUGUUACCUGCAGAAUAAGCACCGGCUAAUUCCGUGCCAGCAGCCGCGGUAAUACGGAAGGUGCAAGCGUUAAUCGGAAUUACUGGGCGUAAAGCGCGCGUAGGUGGUUUGUUAAGUUGGAUGUGAAAGCCCUGGGCUCAACCUAGGAACUGCAUCCAAAACUAACUCACUAGAGUACGAUAGAGGGAGGUAGAAUUCAUAGUGUAGCGGUGGAAUGCGUAGAUAUUAUGAAGAAUACCAGUGGCGAAGGCGGCCUCCUGGAUCUGUACUGACACUGAGGUGCGAAAGCGUGGGUAGCGAACAGGAUUAGAUACCCUGGUAGUCCACGCCGUAAACGAUGACAACUAGCUGUUGGGAGACAAUGUCUUUCAGUGGCGCAGCUAACGUUUUAAGUUGUCCGCCUGGGGAGUACGGCCGCAAGGC